GUCCAAGAUAGAUAUCUAAAGAUGAAAAGUAUUGUUAGGGGUGAGAUAGCUUCCGGAGAUGAUCCGCAGAUCGUUGAACCUUGGAUUAAAAAUUUUUGAAAAGCGAUUUUUCAAUGGAGAAGGGAAUCGGAUCUCCCCGGGAAAGUCGACGGUUUUCACCAGUUGCAGAUUUGCCAGAGUCCCAGGAUUUUAACACAACCACCUAAGAGGCUGCCGUGCGGAGGAGGGUUAACCAUCGCGGUUGGCCGCGAGAUCACCACCAACCUCCUAGCUUCCGAAGCUCUCGCCGCGAGUUUAACCGGUUGUCGGUACUUACUGAAUCUGGAGCGAUUAAUAGCCCGAUGUACAUGCGCAAGCAUAAAUGAAACAUAAUCCCUGGCCAGAGGACGCUUAUGAAUAGACAAUAAAGUGUGAAUUACACUCGUAAUUUGAAAACGGUCGAUCGGAUUAAACUGGACGAUUUUUAUAAAAUUACGCUAAAAGAUAUACUCCCUCGAAUACACGAUAUUAAUUGAUGAAUAUCAUGCGACGAGGGAACCACUAUUUUCUUCCUUCUUUUGUCAAGAAAUAUUUGAUUAAUUUAUUUUAAUAUUCUAUGUGAAUAUUUUAUUAUAUGAUAUAUUAUUAAAGCAAUUUUAUCUGGAAUUUGAAUAUCUAAUGAUAAUGUAAAAAUAGACUUGAUUUGGUUUUGAAAUGGUAAAAAUGAUAAAAAUGUUGAAAAUGUAUUUUAUAGACUUACGUAUGACGUAGAUCACUACAAGAGAAGGUAGCAUAAAGUCGUUUCGCUGUACUGUAGUAGUUAUAUAUAUA
This 810-nucleotide unclassified non-coding RNA is filed under the name Bombus terrestris (buff-tailed bumblebee). RNAcentral's name for it is "misc RNA ENSBTSG00005028033.1". The record is from RNAcentral. Lineage: Eukaryota; Metazoa; Arthropoda; Insecta; Hymenoptera; Apidae.